UAGUCCACGCCGUAAACGAUGAGUGCUAAGUGUUAGAGGGUUUCCGCCCUUUAGUGCUGCAGCAAACGCAUUAAGCACUCCGCCUGGGGAGUACGGUCGCAAGACUGAAACUCAAAGGAAUUGACGGGGGGCCCGCACAAGCGGUGGAGCAUGUGGUUUAAUUCGAAGCAACGCGAAGAACCUUACCAGGUCUUGACAUCCUUCGCUACUUCUAGAGAUAGAAGGUUCCCCUUGGGGGACAAGUGACAGGUGGUGCAUGGUUGUCGUCAGCUCGUGUCGUGAGAUGUUGGGUUAAGUCCCGCAACGAGCGCAACCCUUGAUCUUAGUUGCCAGCAUUCAGUUGGGCACUCUAAGGUGACUGCCGGUGACAAACCGGAGGAAGGUGGGGAUGACGUCAAAUCAUCAUGCCCCUUAUGACCUGGGGCUACACACGUGCUACAAUGGAUGGUACAAAGGGCUGCAAGACCGCGAGGUCAAGCCAAUCCC
This 486-nucleotide ribosomal RNA is filed under the name uncultured bacterium. RNAcentral describes it as "bacterial SSU rRNA". It matches the Rfam family "Bacterial small subunit ribosomal RNA", at positions 791 to 1275 of the family's 1533-position model. The record is from RNAcentral.